UUAAGAGACAUGUUGGCCUCCAAUGGUUCUGCAACCUUAAUGGGUCUUUGAUUCCAUGAUGCUCAUAAAUGAGGUUUGGGAAUAAGAGUUUGGAGAAGUGGCUCCUAUAGGAGCAGGAGACAGGUCUGUUUCCUCCAUGGAAACCUCCUGACAGCUCCCUGUCACUCUGCAGAGUCUGAGUGUGCCGGGUUCUGGUGUCAACAAUGGAGUCACCACUGCUCAGGGGGUGCAGGCUGCACAAGCCUACAUUUUCCCCAGGUGAGUGCAUUUCCUUGGUGAUUUUCUGGUUCCUUUGUUGCCUGUAGAGUGUGGGGUCUGCCAUUCCUCAAGCCUGUGGUAUCAUUUGCUUCUGGAGUUUGCCUCACUUAUUCUUGUGGGUCCCUUCUAAUUCAUAAUGUUGCAAUUCUGUGAUUCUAGGUUUCAGCUUGCUGUGUCUGAGGCUUUUUCCACCCAGCAUAUAAAGGGUGCAGAGAAACACAGGGUCAGAACAGGUAUGGAAUGGGUUCUUGCUGCUUUGACACACAUGGGGUGAUCACACAUGUGUGACCACACAACCUCACAGGCUGCUCCCAAGAGCUCCCUCCUUUCCCAGGGGAACAAGAACAUCCUGGAAAGUUUUCCCUCCCUGUGCUGCCAUACCAGAGGUCAGGCACGAGGAAGCAAGAGCCAGGGCCAAAGCCACCUGCCAGGUGAAACUCUUAUGGGAACAGAUUGGAGGGGUCCUUCCACCCUGGGUGAAAUCCCUCUCAGACACUUGGACUGUGUAGCAGCUCAGGAAGGUCCAGGGGAACAGCUCUAGCUCCCCACUUCUCCUGAACACCUGUGGAGUUUGUCCCCAGCCCAGAUAGGUUUCCUAUCUGCCCCACACUCAUGCUGAUGACUGCUGGUAUUUCUGCAGUGUACUCACCCUAUACCCAGCCAACUCUCUAAGGAUGAGGGAAGCAGGUGGGCAGGAGUUAGCUCCUUCAGCCAGGUCUGACAUCACACUUCUGGCUUCUGAGAACUGCCAGAGAGCACUGCAGGUAUUCGGCGUUGGAGGUGCUUGGGCUCCCCACCGUCCAUCCCAGCCCCCAAGAAAGGGGGUCACUAUGAGGUGGGGAAGGGCUGGAACCCCCCUCCCCACAGAGAAAAUGGCAGAGAGAUUCCAGCCUGGUACCAGGUGGGUGGAUGUGGGACUGUGUGGGCGCAGGGUGGGGCAAGGGGAGAGGCAGCUGGCAGCUCCCCAAGGGAUGACGAUUCCCUCUUGUUGCAGACACCUUUCCUCACGAGCCAUCCAGGUGCUCCGUGGGCUGGAGCCACAUCAGACACAGAGGAACAUCUUCAUGUUUUUGGCUGAGAACAACCGGCGGCGGCAGGAGCAGCAGAGGCAGUUCUGCAGGUAACUCCAAAGGGAUGGAAUUCCCCACAUCCCUCCACUGAGGCAGCCCCGGGGGACAGAAGCGGGACCAGGAGGCUGCCUUUGGGCUGGACUCCCGGAUACACCCAGCAUCGGCUUCCCAUGUGGGACAGAAAAGUCCUGGCUGAAGACAGAGGGACCUUGAUGGCAGGCCAUCCCCUUCCCAAACCUGAGAGCAU
Long non-coding RNA from Parus major (Great Tit), 1575 nucleotides. Lineage: Eukaryota; Metazoa; Chordata; Aves; Passeriformes; Paridae. The record is from Ensembl.